RNAcentral lists this long non-coding RNA (1845 nucleotides) under Homo sapiens (human). RNAcentral describes it as "HSALNT0041390". Lineage: Eukaryota; Metazoa; Chordata; Mammalia; Primates; Hominidae. The record is from RNAcentral.
AUAAAUAUAGUUUUAUAUAUAAAUAAAGUAAAAAUAUUACAUUUUUCUUUUCUUAGCACCAAUAUAACCACACCAUCGCUGGAAUUAUAAAAAUACCAAGAAAAUUUCUGUUGAUAAUGGAUUAAUGGAAUCAUAGACUUUUAGAGUUGAACAUUUGAGUUUAUCCAGUGCCUGGUUCCAGAUGAGGUGAACAGAGGCUCAGUGAGUUCCAAUUGCCUGGUUAAAGAUGAUAAUGGCAAAACUAGGGUUGGAAUCCCAGUUCUGCUACUUCUACUGGCUCUGCUAGUCAACUGUUUUUUAUACCCUUUGUUUCUUUCGUCUUUGGGUAUGAAAGAAAUGUGUUGUUAAAAUAAUGAGAGUCUUCUCUUCCUCUGGCAGUUCUGUUCAUUAGCAAAUCUUACCAGACAAUUCAACUCCCUUCUUUCCUGCCACUUCCACAGUACGGAACAAAGAACCUAAGUAGUCCCCUUUUAAGUCACCAUUGCAAUUAGAGGUCCUUAUGUUACAUAGAUCUAGACUAUAAAAUGCAAAUAAUGUCUGCCAUGGACUCAAGAAAAGACUUUUGCCUUUUUGGAUAAAAGAUAUGUAGAACUACCAUUGUCUUUUUCUUUUUUCCUACCUUGAGCACAAAUUUGCAAUGCAAAGCUGAAUCAACCAUCUUGGGAAGUGAUAAACAUGAAGAAAUAUCCAAGAAAAUUAUAGAAAUGCCCUAACAAGUUUGAGCCACAGAACCAUCACCAACAACUGCCUAUUUCCAGAUUUCUAGUGAUACAAGAAAAAAAACCUCCCUUUGUUUAGACACUUUAUUUGUAUUUUCUAUUCCCUGUAGCAAAAACAUUCCUUACUAACAUUUCUAUUUCUCAUUUUGUGCAUAAAUGCAUAUUCCAUAAAGGAGAGCCAAGAUACCCACCUUGGAGCCCAAGCUGAGGGGUAUUUUCGAUGUGUAUCUUGUGGAACCAGUCCUGCCAAUCUCAUCCAGUGACUAAAAAUGCCUAACCUCCUGGGAAUGGAGGUCAAGCAAGUUUCAGCCUCAUUUUACACAACACCUAUUCAAGAUGGAGGUGCUCUGGUUCAAAUCACUCUGACAAGCAGUCACUACCCCUGCCCCAAAGCCAAGCAUUGUAGGGAAUCUUAUCUGGUAACAAAGAGUUGAUCUGAAGUGAUGUUUGAAAAUGAGUGGGGUGGUUGUUUGUUGAAUCAGUGAGACAAUGAGUAGGGAAUGAGGGAGACUGUCAUUUAAUUGGUAAAGACCAGAGGUGCUAAUUGUUCUGCAAUUCCAUAGCAUUUCACUCAGCAUUCCACAAAAUCAAGCAUGCUCCCUCCCGAAAUAUUCACAUCGCCCCACUGAGAAACUGCCCCAGAGCACCCUGGGGAAGCUCAGCUUUGCAUUCCCACUUCUAUUAGACAGCCUUUGUGACACACACACCUUGUCCCUGUGAACAUGGUGAAUGGAAAUUAUCUUCUCCACAUUAACUUUGAAUACAUGGGCCAAGGAAAUGGCCCUAGGUGUAUACCAGUCCUGCUUCUUUCUCACUCCUUGGCUAGAGAAAGAAAGAAUUUAGCAAAUUCAUCAUUAGUCAAGAAUAAGGGGCUGCAUUUUGUUUUAAAAAUCCUCUCCUUCCAUUUUCAAUUCUAGUACAGGCCAUAUCAGAAUUAUAAUUAAUGAAAUAAAUGUUAAUUCAAAUUAUCUAUAUUUAAUGAGUUCAUGAUUCAUUAACUUGAAAAGAAUCCAUUUGUUUGCAUAAAAUGAAUCUCAAUGAUGGAACUAUAUAAUUAUUUAGUAUGAAUGAUGAUAGUGCACUUAAUAAAAUUAGAACAAUUUUUUGGUUAAUGUUACAGAUUAGG